CCAAACCUGGUUGAUCCUGCCAGUAGUCAUACGCUUGUCUCAAAGACUAAGCCAUGCAUGUCUAAGUAUAAAGGUUAUACAAUGAAACUGCGAAUGGCUCAUUAAAACAGUUAUAGUUUAUUUGGUAAUUUUCUACAUGGAUAACCGUGGUAAUUCUAGAGCUAAUACAUGCUGUUUAGCCUGACUUCUUGAAGG
Molecule: ribosomal RNA, 195 nt
Filed under: uncultured eukaryote
Lineage: Eukaryota
Description: partial 18S ribosomal RNA
Rfam family: Eukaryotic small subunit ribosomal RNA
Source: RNAcentral